Papilio xuthus (Asian swallowtail) is the source of this 316-nucleotide long non-coding RNA. RefSeq lists it as uncharacterized. NCBI's taxonomy places the organism in Eukaryota, Metazoa, Arthropoda, Insecta, Lepidoptera, Papilionidae. The transcript has 3 exons. The record is from RefSeq and is a predicted model, not a curated record.
GGCGGCGCGCGGCGGCGGGCACAGACCGGGGCAGGUUCGCGAGCGCCGCGCCGCCGCAUCAUCACUACCGGCAGCUUCGCGGGCGGGGCGCGUGGGAGCUCGGCCAGCACUUCGGACACUUCGCGCCCGCCUCCCAGUACAUGAUGGGCAUGGGGUGGGGCGGAGCGCGCAUGCAGCGCGGCCCGCGACACCGCGCCUUCAUGCGCUGACACCGCGCCUUCAUGCGCUGACACCGCGCCUUCAUGCGCUGACACCGCGCACCUCCUCGACGCGACCACAAACAUUUCAUGAAAUAAAUUUAAAUAUUCAUAGUGUU